UUUGUGACCAAGUAUAUUUAAAAAGAGCAAAUCAGAGUAAAAGAGGAGAUACCAACAACAAUAGUAUAUCAUUGAAAAACUAAAAGUGCUGCCUCAAUAAAUGAUGCCUUACAACCUUGAAGUAAUCGCUUUACCUGACCACAAAAUAAAUAAUAUGAAAUUUAAUUUUACAACCAAAACAACAAAAAAUGAGAGUGAAAGAGGAUAUACUGACAAGCGGAAAGCAGCCGACAGGGCACCAAAAUACAGAGAAAUCGAAGCUUCUUGGUUAAAGAACGUUGGUCGAAUGUAGCCUACUAAUGGUGGAAUAGAAGGGUGUUAUGAAAAGAAGCACUCUGUGGGGAUUUUAUU
RNAcentral lists this long non-coding RNA (351 nucleotides) under Nicotiana benthamiana. Its description in RNAcentral is "long non-coding RNA (NBEN_LNC042429)". Lineage: Eukaryota; Viridiplantae; Streptophyta; Magnoliopsida; Solanales; Solanaceae. The record is from RNAcentral.